Molecule: non-coding RNA, 73 nt
Organism: Phrynosoma platyrhinos (Desert horned lizard)
Lineage: Eukaryota; Metazoa; Chordata; Lepidosauria; Squamata; Phrynosomatidae
Source: the annotation of a GenBank genome assembly
AACUACAGUGGCACAGUGGUUUGAGUGUUGGAUUACAACUCCUGAGACCAGGGUUUGAAUCACUGUUUGGCCA